Molecule: long non-coding RNA, 1666 nt
Organism: Homo sapiens (human)
Lineage: Eukaryota; Metazoa; Chordata; Mammalia; Primates; Hominidae
Gene: LRRC77P
Product: leucine rich repeat containing 77, pseudogene
Source: Ensembl
GUUGUUUAUGUAAGAAUUUCAAGGCCACAACUCCAUAUUUGAAGUAAAGUGCUCAUAAAAUUAAUUGCAAGACUUCUGAAGAGAGAUUUGCUAGGAAAAAUAAAAAGAUAUAUAAAUUUCAGUGAUGCUGAAGGAGAGGAAGGAUGUGAUGUCUUUCCCCAUCCGUCAUAAGGGUCAUGGCCAACACUCCUAUAACAAAAGGUUUUGAGAAGCCAUCUGCAGCUCACAACUAGAUGAGUGACACAAUCAGAUGUGCGUAUGCAAAAAAAAGCCUGGAGACAUUGAACUAAGAUCAAAUUUAAUGUAUUAAAUAUGGUAGAAAGAAGAGAGAAUGAAAAAUAAUGUUAACAAUCUAGGUGAGGAAUUGCUGAGGAGACAAAUUAAGUAAAUCCUGUGGAAGGAAAGAAGAAAGGAGGAAAGAGGAUUGGAUGGAAGAAUCUCCACUUCUCAUAGGUGUAGUCCUUCCUUAGCCUGCUUUUUAAUGAGUGCUGCUAAAGCCCUUAGCCUGCCUGUUUACCCUUGGAGUGGAGCAAUGAACUGAAGAUAUUUGAGUGAGUUCAAGAGAGACUCAGAAGAGAAGAAUUGGAGGCAGCAAACAUAGACAGCACUUUUAAUGCUUUUCUCAUAUGCUGUAAGACAUGAAAGCAAUCUAUUGGGAUGAAAGCUGAAAGGAGAAGCGGGACAAGAGAAGUGAAUCCGUGGAAGACCCCCAAAAGAGGCUGCAGAUUCUUAGUGGACAGCUCUCAUAUCCCCUCCAGGGAAAAUGAUGAAAAAUGUCUUCAGAAAAAUAGCUUUAUGAAGGCAAGAGGACUUUUUGCACCUGCAAGACAUGUCUGAAAGCUCCUCAGGUCAAAACACAAGUAGUCAAGAGAUUUGUCCAUCUAAUUCAUCAUACUACUCUGAUCCAAGUGAGACCCACACUGGGUCAGCUCCAUCAAGGAGAAGAACAUUCCACCCACGUUUGGAUUCUGGAAUAUCAUCCUUGCUUCCAUCAGAUUCUUGUAAGUACCUCACUUGGCACAAGGUAGACAUGACGUUCAAGGAAGUCAACUGCGUUGCCCAAGAGUAAGAGAAGGAAUCUCUGAAGAAGAGCAACUUUUCAGACAGGUAGAGUGUGCCUUGCUCCCAAGGAAAAGAGUUCUUGAAAAAAACAAAUGGGAAACAUGGCUACAAGAAAACUGGGAAGACUGCAAGAAAAUCUCAGAAUCUGCUUGAGAAUCCGGUCCUUCUUCCUCCAUACACCCAUGGAACACUCCCAAACUCUGUAUGCUGCUCACUAAUUCUGAUUAAGGUCUUCACCCUCCCUACCUUGGAAAUUGCUACAACAUAAUUGUGUUUAAUUUGAACAUUUCAUUUCAGGGUUUGGGGGAUCCUUACCAAGUUGAAAAUUUUAACAGAAUUCUUAGAAGACUAAUUCGAGUUGAAACCCUCUGGUUAGUGGAUAAUUCACUGGUGGACUUAAGUGCCAUAAGAUUGCCAAGAGUAUUCUCCUGUUUGCCAAACUUAAAAAUGCUGGAUGGAAUCUUGAAGCUACCAGAAGAUUGCUUAUCACCAGAAACCAAUAUUUUUUCAAAAAUAUGCCUUGUAUCCUAAUGCAGUCUGUAUAGAAAGAAAGCAAUCAUCAUUGUUGCUAAAAGCUAAUAAACACAGGACAUGCAUGAUUAAA